UAAAGAUCGUUUUGGGCUUAAAGAAACGUUCGGGUUUAAUUGGGCCCAUUGGGCCUAAACCCAUUGGGCCUAAACCCAUUGGGCUUUUAUUCAAGCAUUGGAUGACUUGAAAUAAAUGAAAGCCCAAAGCCUAAACAACACAAAGAGGGCCGGCCAUAUUAUGUGGGGAAGGAGAGAUAUUUAGUCAAGUGUUGACUAGGUUUCUUUUGUCUAUAUAAGGAACUUUAUAGUGAUAAAGUUCAUAAGGGUUUUUUGAAGUGUUUAAACAACAAAGAGGCAAAAGAAAAAAGCUCUCUAACACAUCAAAGGGCCGGCCACCAUUGGGGUGUUUUAGCUAACAAUCUUUCACCCUUU
RNAcentral lists this long non-coding RNA (354 nucleotides) under Malus domestica (apple). RNAcentral's name for it is "long non-coding RNA (MDOM_LNC008150)". The record is from RNAcentral. Lineage: Eukaryota; Viridiplantae; Streptophyta; Magnoliopsida; Rosales; Rosaceae.